This 813-nucleotide ribosomal RNA is filed under the name Triticum aestivum (bread wheat). RNAcentral's name for it is "partial small subunit ribosomal RNA". Lineage: Eukaryota; Viridiplantae; Streptophyta; Magnoliopsida; Poales; Poaceae. The record is from RNAcentral.
AUGGACGUGGCCUCGCUGCUGCUCCCCUUGGUCCUGGCGCUGGUGGCGAUCCCGAUCUCGCUCGCACUACUCGACUGGCUGCGCCUUCCGCCAGGCCCGUGUCCGUGGCCGGUGGUGGGCAACCUGCGCCAGAUCAAGCCCGUGCGGUGCCGCUGUUUCCAGGAGUGGGCGGAGCGGUACGGGCCUAUCUUCUCCGUGUGGUUCGGCUCCUCCCUCACCGUCGUCGUCUCCACGCCGGAGCUGGCCAAGGAGGUGCUCAAGGAGCACGACCAGCAGCUCGCCAACUGCACCCGGAACCGCUCCACCCAGCGCUUCAGCCGCAACGGCCAGGACCUCGUCUGGGCCGACUACGGCCCGCACUACAUCAAGGUGCGCAAGCUGUGCAAUCUCGAGCUCUUCACGCAGAAGCGACUCGAGGCGCUCCGCCCCAUCCGGGAGGACGAGGUCACUGCCAUGGUCUCGUCCGUCCACCGCGCCGCCACCGGCCCCGGUAAUGAAGGAAAGCCACUGGUUGUGAGGAGUCACCUUGCCAUGGUGUCUUUCAACAAUAUAACAAGGCUAGUUUUUGGGAAGCGGUUUAUGAAUGCAAAUGGUGACAUUAACGAAGAAGGGCAGGAGUUCAAGAGUAUUGUCAACAACGGUAUCAAAAUUGGUGCAUCUCUCUCUAUUGUUGAAUAUGUUUGGUACUUGAGAUGGCUGUUUCCACUUAAUGAGGAGCUUUACAAGACCCACAAUGAGAGAAGGGAUCAGCUGACCAAGAAGAUCAUAGAAGAGCAUGAGGUAGCAAGCAUCAUUUCGUGGAUGCACUGUUGA